This 1178-nucleotide long non-coding RNA is filed under the name Scleropages formosus (Asian bonytongue). RNAcentral describes it as "lncRNA (ENSSFOG00015032811.1)". The record is from RNAcentral. Lineage: Eukaryota; Metazoa; Chordata; Actinopteri; Osteoglossiformes; Osteoglossidae.
CUGGCGUCCCGUCCUGGGUGUGUCCCCUCCCCCUCCGGCCUUACGCCCUGUGUUACCGGGUAGGCUCCGGUUCCCCGCGACCCCGUAUGGGACAAGCGGUUCAGAAAAUGUGUGUGUGUGUGUGUAUUAUUAUUAUUAUUAUUAUUGUUGUUACUAUUAUUAUUAUUAUUAUUAUUGUUAUUAUUAUUAUUAUUAUUAUUAUUUCACGACGUUAGAGGUCGCUGUUGGUUUUUAUUAAUUCGCCCUCUUUACGGUCAGCCCUCAGAAUGUGUCGGAAUCGACUACAACAGCAAACCAUACCCGUGCGGGGACAGGUGUCAAUGCAACGACAGUCCCGACCAACACUUACAGUGGCGGCGGGGCCAACCAAACCACACCCAGCGGUGGGGGCAAUGCCCUGCGCUCCUUCAACCCCACCUGCCUGCUCCCCGUUGUCGUGGCAGCCUCCUUCCUGCGCUGUUGAAGCACCCCUUCCCCCAAGCCGACACUGAACAGAGGCAAGACUGCAACAUCCCACGGCCUAGAAAGGAAAGGUCUCACCCCAAGGAUGUACAUUUUCCUUUUUUAACAGAGCGGAAGGGGUGCUACAGCAAUGGAGAGUGUCAUCCAACCAGAGAAGACAAGAGUGUAGCGUAGAUUUGCAUUGUUACAUUGCAGCGUCAGCUGCUGUCCAGCUUGUCUUGCAGUCCACAGUUUGGACAGUAUGAGGUUGUACAAAUGCUUGUUUAAUGUCCCAAGCAAGUCCACUAAUGUUCCUUUUUGGUCUGAUAUGAUUUCUAAAUACUGGGUAAAUUAGUUGGAAGGGCCACACUGUUAACAUUGAACAUGUUUAAUGGAUUAGACCUGAACCAGACUUGAGUAAGUGGGGCAUGACUGUCUUCAUUGACAUGACUUUGACUUUUGUCAAGAAUUUUUAGCGUAGUAUAAAUGAUGUUGUAAGCAGUGAGUGUUGCACUUUUGUUUGGCCACUUGUGGCCUUUUAAAAGAACUUUGUAAUUUUCUUUCUGCACUAGAAAUAAUCCCACAGGUCAGGCAGUAUACUCAAAGUAAAUGUUAUCUUGCCCAUGGCUAUGUUCUGUAAUAACAGUGUUUUAAUGUUAGUUAACAGAAGUGCAGGAAGAAACUUCAUUAAAAUUUAAAUUAUGACCUUCAGUGCUGGCUCUGAUUUAUGGACAACA